UCAGUGAAACUGGCUCUCCCUCUCAUCCAGAGUCAUGAUCCCUUUAAAUGUUUUGACUGUGCCAAGGGAUGCCCAUUUGUUUAAGGAGGCUCUAUUCACUGCCUCCCUUGGGUGUUGUGCCUGUGGUUAGGAGGGCUGCCUUGCUUGGUCCAUUUCUGAGGGCCUUUUCAAUAAAUCACUUCUUUCUCCUCCCUGAGUUUGUUUCCUGGACACUUACUGAUUGUGGUGAGCAUCCACGACUCCCACGGUGUCUUCAAGCUAUUACAGCAAAGAGAGCCGACUAUAGAGCAGACAUGGGUUCCGAAUUCUACUUUCCUGGGGACACUGACCUCUCCGUAGGGACAAUGACAGGAUGCCUGGCAGUGACCAGCACUCUAGGGACUUUGUGAGCACUGGAGAGAUAUGAGAGAUAUUCUCACCUUGACAUUUAACCUAAGAGAUUAUAAAGUGGACUUUUGGAUGGCUAGACAACAAAAUAACCAUGGCUCGGGUUUCAAAAAUGAGUGCCUCGCUCUAACAUUCUAAACACUCUAAUACACUUCCUUCAUAAUUGACGAGGAAUCCUGAGCACAAAGACAGACAACCCACACUGUCCCCUGCCCCAGCCGUCCUGCUCAUUGUGACGCUGUCCACAGUGUCUGCACUUAACCUGCCACCAAAAUGACUAGAAACUCAGAGAGGAGUCUUUUCCA
Molecule: long non-coding RNA, 692 nt
Filed under: Rattus norvegicus (Norway rat)
Lineage: Eukaryota; Metazoa; Chordata; Mammalia; Rodentia; Muridae
Description: long non-coding RNA NONRATT027557
Source: RNAcentral